Molecule: ribosomal RNA, 994 nt
Filed under: uncultured Bacteroidota bacterium
Lineage: Bacteria; Pseudomonadati; Bacteroidota
Description: bacterial SSU rRNA
Rfam family: Bacterial small subunit ribosomal RNA
Source: RNAcentral
AGAGUUUGAUCAUGGCUCAGGAUGAACGCUAGCGGCAGGCCUAACACAUGCAAGUCGAGGGGCAGCAUAGAUUGCUUGCAAUCUGAUGGCGACCGGCGCACGGGUGCGUAACGCGUAUGAAACCUACCUAAUACAGGGGGAUAGCCCAGAGAAAUUUGGAUUAAUACCCUAUGGUACUGUGAUCUCGCAUGGGAUUAUAGUUAAAGAUUUAUCGGUAUUAGAUGGUCAUGCGUUCUAUUAGUUAGUUGGUAAGGUAACGGCUUACCAAGACAUCGAUAGAUAGGGGCCCUGAGAGGGGGAUCCCCCACACUGGUACUGAGACACGGACCAGACUCCUACGGGAGGCAGCAGUGAGGAAUAUUGGACAAUGGAGGCAACUCUGAUCCAGCCAUGCCGCGUGAAGGAAGACUGCCCUAUGGGUUGUAAACUUCUUUUAUAGAGGAAGAAACACAGAUACGUGUAUUUGUUUGACGGUACUCUACGAAUAAGGAUCGGCUAACUCCGUGCCAGCAGCCGCGGUAAUACGGAGGAUCCAAGCGUUAUCCGGAAUCAUUGGGUUUAAAGGGUCCGCAGGCUGUUGUUUAAGUCAGAGGUGAAAGUUUGCAGCUCAACUGUAAAAUUGCCUUUGAUACUGGAUAACUUGAGUAAUAAUGAAGUGGUUAGAAUAUGUAGUGUAGCGGUGAAAUGCAUAGAUAUUACAUAGAAUACCGAUUGCGAAGGCAGAUCACUAAUUAUAUACUGACGCUGAGGGACGAAAGCGUGGGGAGCGAACAGGAUUAGAUACCCUGNUAGUCCACGCCGUAAACGAUGGUUACUAGCUGUUUGGACUUCGGUCUGAGUGGCUAAGCGAAAGUGAUAAGUAACCCACCUGGGGAGUACGAUCGCAAGAUUGAAACUCAAAGGAAUUGACGGGGCCCGCACAAGCGGUGGNNCAUGUGGGUUUAAUUCGAUGAUACGCGAGGAACCUUACCAGGGCUUAAAUGUGNAUUGACAG